This 395-nucleotide ribosomal RNA is filed under the name uncultured eukaryote. RNAcentral's name for it is "partial 18S ribosomal RNA". It matches the Rfam family "Eukaryotic small subunit ribosomal RNA", at positions 592 to 976 of the family's 1831-position model. The record is from RNAcentral.
CAAUAGCGUAUAUUAAAGUUGUUGCAGUUAAAAAGCUCGUAGUUGGAUUUCUGAAUCGAAUAUCCGGUCCGCUCGUCUCUGAUGAGUGCGUACUUAUGGAUAUUGGAUUCAUUUUUUGUGAGGACAUUUAUCUGUCAUUAAGUUGAUGGAUUUAUAGACUUGCAUCGUUUACUGUGAAAAAAUUAGAGUGUUUAAAGCAGGCGUUCGCCCAUUUGAAUACAUUAGCAUGGAAUAAUAAGAUAUGACUUUGGUGGUCUAUUUUGUUGGUUUGCACACCAGAGUAAUGAUUAAUAGGGACAGUUGGGGGUAUUCAUAUUUCAACGUCAGAGGUGAAAUUCUUAGAUCGUUGAAAGAUGACCUUAGGCGAAAGCAUUUACCAUGGAUGUUUUCAUUAA